Small nuclear RNA from Gorilla gorilla gorilla (western lowland gorilla), 107 nucleotides. NCBI's taxonomy places the organism in Eukaryota, Metazoa, Chordata, Mammalia, Primates, Hominidae. The record is from Ensembl.
GUGCUUGCUUCAGCCACACAUAUGUGAGAAUUGGAAUGAUACACAAAAGAUUAUCAUGGCCCCUGCACAAGUUUGACACACAAAUCCAUGAAGCAUUCUAUACUUUC